CUGCACCCCAUCAUCCACUCCAAUCCAUCCUCUACAUAGUGGCUAAAUAGAUCUUUAAAGGCUCAAACCUUCCUAGACAGUAACGCCUUCCUACCUUGGCCUGCCAUUUAGGGGUCUUUCUGAUGGAAUUCCAGCUUAACUUUCCAGCCUUACAGCCCCUGUUGGUCCUAGUUCUCUCUGGCCACCAGAACACAUCUGCUUCCUCCUCCCACGAGAAACUGGGGAGAGAUGGAGACAGCACCCAAAGCCUGCUCUUCUUUAAGCUGUUUCCUCUCAACUAGGUUUUCCAUCGUGCCAUUGCUAGGCUACCUUGGCUUGGCCAAGCCCCAUCUCCUAUUGUCCCAGUGUGAAUACCAGAAGAAGCAAACAGCCUGCAGAUGGGACACCUAUUCACCCCUGAUGCAAGUGUGACUGGAGCUAUUGAGUGACUGAUGAGAUCUGUUGUAACAAUCAUUCUGGCAAAGGUGUGGAGAUGGCUCAGAGGAUUGAGCUGGGAGCAGGGUGGCCUCAGCCACAUGUGCUACCAUGGCUCUGAGCAGGGGCCUUCUUGGAUCAUUCAACCAGCAGAUGAAGAAAAAGAGGGCGAAUGGAGAAUUAUAUGUCAGAGAAUUUUAUGGAUCUUACUGGAGGGUAAAUUCAAUCCUGGUAACUUAAUUGUGGGCAAAAGUGCAAAUCUCCUGGCAUCCAAUUCUUACCAUAGAUUUCUGAUGUCUGGAAGCAUGGUGGAGCAACACACUUCUGAA
RNAcentral lists this long non-coding RNA (743 nucleotides) under Pan troglodytes (chimpanzee). RNAcentral describes it as "lincRNA". Lineage: Eukaryota; Metazoa; Chordata; Mammalia; Primates; Hominidae. The record is from RNAcentral.